CACCGCGGUUAUACGAGAGGCCCUAGUUAAUAGGCACGGCGUAAAGGGUGGUUAGGGGAGAUAAAAAUAAAGCCAAAGGGCCUCUUGGCCGUCAUACGCUCCCGAGUGUCCGAAGCCCAUAAGCGAAAGUAGCUUUAAUAUAGUCCACCUGACUCCACGAAAACUGAGAAA
This 171-nucleotide ribosomal RNA is filed under the name Triplophysa siluroides. Its description in RNAcentral is "partial 12S rRNA". The record is from RNAcentral. Lineage: Eukaryota; Metazoa; Chordata; Actinopteri; Cypriniformes; Nemacheilidae.